Molecule: ribosomal RNA, 305 nt
Filed under: uncultured bacterium
Lineage: Bacteria
Description: bacterial SSU rRNA
Rfam family: Bacterial small subunit ribosomal RNA
Source: RNAcentral
UCCCUACGGGAGGCAGCAGUGAGGAAUAUUGGUCAAUGGGCGGGAGCCUGAACCAGCCAAGCCGCGUGAGGGAAGAAGGUACAGCGUAUCGUAAACCUCUUUUGUCAGGGAACAAAGGCGGGGACGUGUCCCGGCCCGGAGAGUACCCGGAGAAAAAGCAUCGGCUAACUCCGUGCCAGCAGCCGCGGUAAUACGGAGGAUGCGAGCGUUAUACGGAUUUAUUGGGUUUAAAGGGUGCGUAGGCGGGCUUUUAAGUCAGCGGUAAAAAUUCGGGGCUCAACCCCGUCCGGCCGUUGAAACUGGGG